ACUUGCAUCAGUUACAUCUCACGCUUAUAUACACUUAUCAGUAAAAACAACUUGUAACUAAUUACACUAAACAGAUUAUAAGAUCUAUCUAAACUUCAUAAACAUGCACACGGUCUGUAUUACAACAAACUUAACCACCUAUGAUGAGCUGUCAAUAGAGCUGUUCCAUUGCUCAGUCACCUUUGAUGACAUGGCAUUUCUGACACGUGUAGCUUUGAGUUCAGUCUUCUUGUACUCUGAAUAAUGAGCUGCCUUAGCGUUCAUCAAAGACAGACAUCUUAAACAUGCAUCGAUUACAUGCCUCAACAGAUAUCCCCAUAUGUGACAAUACACAACUGACCAAAUAUAACCAAUGACAAUUUGACACAUAAGUCAACUUAACCUCGUGGUCUGCCGAUCGAGUGAGGAAGACGGAAGAGAAUUAACUAGUCUGAUUACGUAAGUAAUGGAAACAUGGCGCAUUUAUGUUGAACCAAUUCCUAGUCUUGGUGAAAACCGGCUUGAUGAAUUUGUUGUAAAUCCAACGAACAGGAUCCAUGAUCAAUCUGCCACCUUGAAAGACAACAAGGAAAAUAGCUGCGGAGAGCCAAGCAAUGCCUAAGAUGAC
RNAcentral lists this long non-coding RNA (607 nucleotides) under Citrus sinensis (sweet orange). Its description in RNAcentral is "long non-coding RNA (CSIN_LNC003500)". The record is from RNAcentral. Lineage: Eukaryota; Viridiplantae; Streptophyta; Magnoliopsida; Sapindales; Rutaceae.